UACGAAGGGGGCUAGCGUUGCUCGGAAUCACUGGGCGUAAAGCGCACGUAGGCGGACUCUUAAGUCGGUGGUGAAAUCCUGGAGCUCAACUCCAGAACUGCCUUCGAUACUGAGAAGCUUGAGUCCGGGAGAGGUGAGUGGAACUGCGAGUGUAGAGGUGAAAUUCGUAGAUAUUCGCAAGAACACCAGUGGCGAAGGCGGCUCACUGGCCCGGUACUGACGCUGAGGUGCGAAAGCGUGGGGAGCAAACAGG
RNAcentral lists this ribosomal RNA (253 nucleotides) under uncultured bacterium. RNAcentral's name for it is "partial 16S ribosomal RNA". It matches the Rfam family "Bacterial small subunit ribosomal RNA", at positions 524 to 776 of the family's 1533-position model. The record is from RNAcentral.